RNAcentral lists this long non-coding RNA (990 nucleotides) under Chinchilla lanigera (long-tailed chinchilla). Its description in RNAcentral is "lncRNA (ENSCLAG00000024469.1)". The record is from RNAcentral. Lineage: Eukaryota; Metazoa; Chordata; Mammalia; Rodentia; Chinchillidae.
CAAAAACAGAAAAUAGUACGAGGUCUAAGGCCUUUUUCUCCCUAGAGAAGCAAGACCUGUAACUCAAUCUGUGAGAUCAUUCCCACGGAGGAGAGUGGAACCCUGAGGUGUGGUUCCCAUCGUGGGGACUCAGACCGUCUGAAUCUGGACCCCUGUUCUUAACUUGCUGCUCGUGUGAAUGUGCGUACGUCACCGCACCUCCUCCAGUCUCCUUCGGUUCAUCUGUGACAGCGUGCUUUCUAACAAGUUUGACAACGAGCAGCCCGUGCACUUCAGCAAUUGUUGUCACGGUCCCCCUGGAUAGAACUUCUGCACACAACACAAGGACAGAACGCUAAGCAACAAAAGAGCUCAACAGCUAAGGAGACCUGUACUCAGUGCUAAGGACCAGCGAAGGGGGAAGAAGAAGCUUUGUGUGAGGUUGCAGUUACUGCAAUAACAGCACCCGGUGAGCUAGAAUUACCAUGCAAGUGGUGUCCUGGAGAUGAGAUAAGGCUGGAGCUGGUUCUGAAGGAAGAAAAAAGGACAGCUGUUGAGGAGAGAAGAGACACCUCCCGUUUGCAGACAGUGGGAAAAUCUGUACAGCACUCGGUUGGUUUGUGUUGAUCUGCCCUGAGUAUUGCUGGACAAUAUUGCAUUCCUCCUCCAUGACUUGGUAAAUACGUCCAGUUCCUGCUGGACUCUCCCCAUGGCUCCCGAGUGAAACUCCUUGUACUUGUUCUUAACUACCGGACAUUCAGACGCAUAAGAAGAACUAGAAUAGCUACAGGAGGCGUAUGAGAAGAAAAUUAUAAGGAGGGAGUAUUCUGGACCAAAUUGUAGACUAAGGCUAUAAAAGAGUGAAAUAAACAAUCAACCUGACUUUUUGCAAUCUUUCCUGGUAGAGGUGGGAAAUUUUGGUUUUUAUUGUUGGUUUUAUUAGGGGAAACUUAAGUGCAGACAUGAAAUAAGAUGGUUGUAGUAGCUGGUAUUACUGGGAUUAACCAAGGA